AUUGGAAAGCCGUCAACAAGUUUGAAGUUGAAGCCUAUAGUUGCAGAAAAUUCUAGCCUAAACAACGCAUGAACACUCAACUGGGGUAAUCCCCACUUGAAUAAUCGAGCCCAAUUCAUAAGAGCCUCAGUGUACAUUCGCCAGUGGCAGGCAAGAAAAAUCCAUAAUUAUUCCCCUCUAAACGAGGCAUACAAAAGGCAACCUUCUCUAUUACUAUGUUGCUUUGGGGUUCGGGUGACGGGUGUUGCACUACCAACAAAUUGCAAUCAAACCCUCCGGCAGAAUUCUAAUAGAACCCUAAGAUGCAUGAUUGAACACCCCAAUGUUACAAACGUUUCAAAAACUUUAACAUGAGAGGGAAAUUAUAGGUAUAAUGCAGUCAAAAUUUGUUGAAAACUCAAAUUGAAGACUCAGCACAUAAAGAGCACAGCAUGCCCAGCUGAUUCCCCCAAACACUCAUGGAUAAUCAGCGACUCUCAAUUGAUAUUAUUGUGCAAGGGCGCCACCACUGGCUGGUCAUCAUCCGUACCAAAAUAUCUAUCUCCGUCCAAAUUCUCCCAUGCCAGGAAUGACGCGAAAAUCUUCAUUCAAACCAAUUUCAAUCUCAGAUGUCACAAUCUUUAUUCUUGGGAACCUUUUGCAGACCACAUGCACUCCCUGAGGUGCAGAUAUCAGAUUAAGAAAUAUAAUGUUGAACUCAGGGACACCCUUGCUAAUCAGUAAAGAGAUAGCUUGAACAGCUGAGUUGCCUGUCCCUAGAAUGGGAUCCAAUAGCAACACGUGUCUCUUUGAGAUGUCUUGUGGUAAUUUCUCAUAGAUUAACUGCUGACCGUUGUCACCUUCUCUAUGAAUAAGAAUCUUCCCAAUCUUUAUACCUUUACAACAUGCUCGCAAAGCAUUUUCCAUACUCUCACCACUCCUAAUUACAGAGACACCACAUAACCUCUUACAGAAAUCCACACCAGUGUAUACGGACCCAGUGGGAGUGGUCACCUGCUUUUCUGUAAAUGGUAGAUGUCCCAGACCAUGUUCAACAACCAAGC
This 1043-nucleotide unclassified non-coding RNA is filed under the name Hevea brasiliensis (rubber tree). Lineage: Eukaryota; Viridiplantae; Streptophyta; Magnoliopsida; Malpighiales; Euphorbiaceae. The record is from RNAcentral.